UACGAGAGGACCGGGACGAACGAACCUCCAGUAUACCUGUUGUUCUACCAAGAGCAAACGCAGGGUAGCUGUGUUCGGAGCGGAUAAGUGCUGAAAGCAUAUAAGUACGAAGCCCACCACAAGAUAAGUUCUCUCUCUGGGUAACCAGGUAAGUCCCCGAACAGAUUAUUCGGUUGAUAGGUUGGAAGUGGAAGUGUGGCAACACAUGCAGCUGACCAAUACUAAUAGGACGAGGGCUUCUCCUA
This 245-nucleotide ribosomal RNA is filed under the name Candidatus Adamsella sp. Its description in RNAcentral is "partial 23S ribosomal RNA". It matches the Rfam family "Bacterial large subunit ribosomal RNA", at positions 2682 to 2925 of the family's 2925-position model. Lineage: Bacteria; Bacillati. The record is from RNAcentral.